Symphalangus syndactylus (siamang) is the source of this 1177-nucleotide long non-coding RNA. RefSeq lists it as uncharacterized. The record is from RefSeq and is a predicted model, not a curated record. NCBI's taxonomy places the organism in Eukaryota, Metazoa, Chordata, Mammalia, Primates, Hylobatidae.
UCAGUUCUCAUUUACUUCCUCUUUUUUUUUUUCCUUUUUCUUUUCCUGUACCUUGCUUUGGUCCUUAUAAGUAUCCAAAUUGCACUAAAAUAACUUCUGCACAUAAAGCAUUAGGAAGCAGUGUUUCCCAACCACUACAUUUGAAUGAUUCAUUCCUCUGAGGACCCUCAAGUACUUCAGAAGAAUGAAAAAAUGAAUACCACGUUACACCAAAGAAGAAAUGAAAGCUGCCAGUGUCUUCUGAAGUUAAACAGGCUCCUGUUCUUUGACCCAGCAAUCCAAUCCUAGGUAUUUAAUUGUUCCCUGAGGUUUAAGACAGUGGACUGAGGAUAAUACAGGCUCCAGCUUUCAUUAGUUCAAUGGAUGAUGCUGUUCAAUCCACACUAUUUGGGGCAUUUGUUGAAAAUGUCAUUCAGAAGGUAUCAACACUUUCUAAGUCAUGGUUUGAUUGAAUUUAUAGAAUUAUGUGAUAGAAACCGCAUUCUUCACAAAAGUCACAAGGCAAUAAUGACGACAAGGGUUGAAAAUGAAAGAUGCCAAAUAUUCUGAUCAAUUCAAUGAGGCAAAAAGACAAGUUAGUUCACUCAGUGCUCCAGGCAUCAACUUCAUAGAGGGAAUGGAAAUUCUACCUGUUUCCUAAAGAACUACAGAGGACUCCAACUAAGCCACUAUGCUGGGAGCAGAGAUGGGGAAGAAUUGCUGAGUCAUGAUAAGAGAAGGCACUACAGGAAGAAAUAGUGAACUCUUACAGCUGGGCAAGCAAUGAGUCAGCCUGGGUGGUCACUCCAGAUGCUCCCAGACACAUCCCAAUUUCUGGGAUGUCUUGCUGAUAUGUACUUCUCAAGGAAAAAAAGUGGUCACUAUAUAUAUUAAACUGACAGAGGAAAAGUGGAAAUAACGUAUGUCUUAGAUCUCCAUUUUGGCGAAGACAGGCUUCAGCUAUAAAGAAUCGAAGAAUAAAAUGAGACCAACAAAGUGAAAUCAUUUCUGAACCCAGUAAAUAUUACUGCAGCACUGAUCUGCUGAACCAGCAGAGGAGUCUGAAAGAAAAAUCUGCUCAUCCCAAAUGAGUAUUUACUCUCAAUAUGAUGUGUUUCACUAGCUCCUUUCCUCUGAAGCACUUUUUUUCCCUUGCAUUGUUUUUUUUCUAAUUAUAUGUGUGGCUUUAGACAAAUUA